UGGGGAAUAUUGGACAAUGGGCGCAAGCCUGAUCCAGCCAUGCCGCGUGAGUGAUGAAGGCCUUAGGGUUGUAAAGCUCUUUCAGUGGGGACGAUAAUGACGGUACCCACAGAAGAAGCCCCGGCUAACUUCGUGCCAGCAGCCGCGGUAAUACGAAGGGGGCUAGCGUUGUUCGGAUUUACUGGGCGUAAAGCGCACGUAGGCGGAUCGUUAAGUCGGGGGUGAAAUCCUGGAGCUCAACUCCAGAACUGCCUUCGAUACUGGCGAUCUUGAGUCCGGAAGAGGUGAGUGGAACUCCUAGUGUAGAGGUGGAAUUCGUAGAUAUUAGGAAGAACACCAGUGGCGAAGGCGGCUCACUGGUCCGGUACUGACGCUGAGGUGCGAAAAGCGUGGGGAGCAAACAGGAUUAGAUACCCUGGUAGUCCACGCCGUAAACUAUGAGAGCUAGCCGUUGGAGGAUUUUAUCCUUCAGUGGCGCAGCUAACGCAUUAAGCUCUCCGCCUGGGGAGUACGGUCGCAAGAUUAAAACUCAAAGGAAUUGACGGGGUCAUAGCUGUUUCCU
This 562-nucleotide ribosomal RNA is filed under the name uncultured bacterium. Its description in RNAcentral is "partial 16S ribosomal RNA". It matches the Rfam family "Bacterial small subunit ribosomal RNA", at positions 355 to 1375 of the family's 1533-position model. The record is from RNAcentral.